GACGAACGCUGGCGGCGUGCUUAACACAUGCAAGUCGAGCGAGGUCCAUCUGGUGGCAACACCAGUGAAGGCCGAGCGGCGAACGGGUGAGUAACACGUGAGCAACCUGCCCCGAAGUCUGGAAUAACAUCGGGAAACCGGUGCUAAUACCGGAUCGCCCCACCUGACCGCAUGAUCGGGUGAGGAAAGAUUUAUCGCUUCGGGAGGGGCUCGCGGCCUAUCAGCAGUUGGUGGGGUAACGGCCUACCAAGGCGUCGACGGGUAGCUGGUCUGAGAGGACGACCAGCCACACUGGGACUGAGACACGGCCCAGACUCCUACGGGAGGCAGCAGUAGGGAAUCUUGCGCAAUGGGCGAAAGCCUGACGCAGCAACGCCGCGUGGGGGAUGACGGCCUCGGUU
RNAcentral lists this ribosomal RNA (401 nucleotides) under uncultured bacterium. RNAcentral describes it as "bacterial SSU rRNA". It matches the Rfam family "Bacterial small subunit ribosomal RNA", at positions 28 to 424 of the family's 1533-position model. The record is from RNAcentral.